UAACGCGUGGAUAAUCUGCCCUUCGAUGGGGGACAACAGCCCGAAAGGGUUGCUAAUACCGCAUACGUCGGCCUGGUCUGCGGACCGGGUCGGGAAAGUCGCCGCAAGGUGGCGUCGAAGGAGGAGUCCGCGUCCCAUCAGCUAGUUGGUAGGGUAACGGCCUACCAAGGCUUAGACGGGUAGCUGGUCUGAGAGGAUGAUCAGCCACACUGGGACUGAGACACGGCCCAG
This 231-nucleotide ribosomal RNA is filed under the name uncultured bacterium. RNAcentral describes it as "partial 16S ribosomal RNA". It matches the Rfam family "Bacterial small subunit ribosomal RNA", at positions 111 to 334 of the family's 1533-position model. The record is from RNAcentral.